Long non-coding RNA from Canis lupus familiaris (dog), 729 nucleotides. RefSeq lists it as uncharacterized. The record is from RefSeq and is a predicted model, not a curated record. Lineage: Eukaryota; Metazoa; Chordata; Mammalia; Carnivora; Canidae. The transcript has 3 exons.
UCUCUUGCAGAUCUGAUGAAGCACCUUGAGUGCUUUCUGAGUGCUGAAGAAGCCUUGCACCCCGGGGAUAAAGCCCACCGGGUCAUCAUCUGAAGAAGCACAUGGAGUGCUCUCCGAGUGCUGAAGCAGCCUUGCACCCCGGGGAUAAACCCCACUGGGUCAUGAAACACGAGGAGCAGAGACAAAUAAGCAAUCUUUUUCUGUCAAGGCUCAAAUGACAAAUGUCUGGUUCGUGGAACAUCUUACUGUGAAUAACUUUAGUUCAUCUUAUAAAUGUGUUGUGUUCUCGUCGAUAAAUCUAUACUGAAAGGUCAGGGGAGAGCAAGAGAACAAGAGGGCACUGGGUCCUUGAGGGCUGCGAUGUUAGGAAAGGAGGAAGGACACAGGAAGAGAAGCCUGGGAACUAAAGAAACCUUCAAAGGCUUUACAAGCAAGCACAAAUUGUAUAUUCAAUAUUCACUUAGGCAGGGGGUAAAUAAAAGGUCCUCACUGAAGUAUUUCUGGUCUCAUAGCUGCUACAAACAGACUUUUCAAAUUUUAUGAUUUCUUUGCUCAUUGUGGUUGGUAUUGUGUAAAUUUGUAUGACUUUACAUAAAGUCUUCUCUUUGUAUAAAGGAGUUUUGGUCUCAGAUAAUUCAUUAAUUUAGGCUUCUUUGGAUAUACAACAUACAAAUAAAUAAGAACCUGCCUACAGAUUUCCUUCCUCCUUUCUUUCUCUCCCUCCCUUUC